This 524-nucleotide ribosomal RNA is filed under the name uncultured bacterium. RNAcentral's name for it is "partial 16S ribosomal RNA". It matches the Rfam family "Bacterial small subunit ribosomal RNA", at positions 28 to 526 of the family's 1533-position model. The record is from RNAcentral.
GACGAACGCUGGCGGCGUGCCUAAUACAUGCAAGUCGAACGAAGCUUUUUUAACUGGUGCUUGCACCGACUUAAACAACUGAGUGGCGAACGGGUGAGUAACACGUGGGUAACCUGCCCCAAAGCGGGGGAUAACAUUUGGAAACAGAUGCUAAUACCGCAUAACCACAGAAACCACAUGGUUUCUGUGUCAAAGAUGGUUUCGGCUAUCACUUUGGGAUGGACCCGCGGCGUAUUAGCUAGUUGGUAAGGUAAUGGCUUACCAAGGCAAUGAUACGUAGCCGAACUGAGAGGUUGAUCGGCCACAUUGGGACUGAGACACGGCCCAAACUCCUACGGGAGGCAGCAGUAGGGAAUCUUCCACAAUGGACGAAAGUCUGAUGGAGCAACGCCGCGUUAGUGAAGAAGGUUUUCGGAUCGUAAAACUCUGUUGUCAGAGAAAAACGUGUGCGAGAGUAACUGUUCGUGCAGUGACGGUAUCUGGCCAGAAAGCCACGGCUAACUACGUGCCAGCCGCCGUAACAC